RNAcentral lists this long non-coding RNA (329 nucleotides) under Gorilla gorilla gorilla (western lowland gorilla). Its description in RNAcentral is "lncRNA (ENSGGOG00000044642.1)". The record is from RNAcentral. Lineage: Eukaryota; Metazoa; Chordata; Mammalia; Primates; Hominidae.
GAGUGACCUCUUCACGGAAGCCACCCAGGAUCGGCAAGCUGGAGCCUCUGUUAAGGAGGAGGAGUCUUCAUCAUCCAAACCUGGAAAGAAAAUCCCAGCAGGAGCUGUUUCUGUAUUUUUAGGAGACACGGAUGUGCUGCCUCCGUUCCAUCACUGAAGGAGCCACAGAAGCCUGAGCAGCCCACUCCAAGGAAAAGCCCCUAUGUUCCCCCUCCCACUGGCCUGUUUGAUUAUGAUGAUGGUGAUGAUGAUGACGACUUUUUCUCGGCACCCCACAGCAAGCCUUCCAAAACAGGUAUGUGUUCCUGCCUCUGUGUCUAGGACUUCAG